This 380-nucleotide ribosomal RNA is filed under the name uncultured eukaryote. RNAcentral describes it as "SSU rRNA". It matches the Rfam family "Eukaryotic small subunit ribosomal RNA", at positions 587 to 972 of the family's 1831-position model. The record is from RNAcentral.
AGCUCCAAUAGCGUAUAUUAAAGUUGUUGCAGUUAAAAAGCUCGUAGUUGAAUUUCGGGAUCAAAUUGUCGGUCGUGCCUCGGUACGUACUGGCGUUAUUGGUUCCUCCCUUCUGAAGAACCGCGAUGUCAUUAAUUUGGUGUCGCGGGGAAUCAGGACUGUUACUUUGAAAAAAUUAGAGUGUUUAAAGCAGGCUCGCGCUUGAAUACAUUAGCAUGGAAUAAUGAAAUAGGACGUUUGAUUCUAUUUUGUUGGUUUCUAGGAUCGACGUAAUGAUUAAUAGGGAUAGUUGGGGGCAUUAGUAUUCAAUUGUCAGAGGUGAAAUUCUUGGAUUUAUUGAAGACUAACUACUGCGAAAGCAUUUGCCAAGGAUGUUUUCA